UGUAGGGCAGCCUACAUAACCAAGAAAGAUC
Molecule: non-coding RNA, 31 nt
Filed under: Homo sapiens (human)
Lineage: Eukaryota; Metazoa; Chordata; Mammalia; Primates; Hominidae
Source: RNAcentral